RNAcentral lists this signal recognition particle RNA (94 nucleotides) under Candidatus Obscuribacterales bacterium. Its description in RNAcentral is "signal recognition particle sRNA small type". It matches the Rfam family "Bacterial small signal recognition particle RNA". From Rfam's summary of the family: The signal recognition particle (SRP) is a universally conserved ribonucleoprotein involved in the co-translational targeting of proteins to membranes. Archaeal SRP consists of a 7S RNA and homologues of the eukaryotic SRP19 and SRP54 proteins. In most bacteria, the SRP consists of a 4.5S RNA and the Ffh protein (a homologue of the eukaryotic SRP54 protein). The record is from RNAcentral. Lineage: Bacteria; Bacillati; Candidatus Melainabacteria; Candidatus Obscuribacterales.
UGAUCGUUGGGCGCGGCGGAGGCCGACGAACCUGGUCAGGGGGGAAACCCAGCAGCCAUAAGUUGUAACCUACGGGUGCGUCCAGCGGUCAUUU